This 658-nucleotide long non-coding RNA is filed under the name Rattus norvegicus (Norway rat). RNAcentral describes it as "long non-coding RNA NONRATT004316". The record is from RNAcentral. Lineage: Eukaryota; Metazoa; Chordata; Mammalia; Rodentia; Muridae.
AUUUGUUGGGGGGGGGGGAAUAUGCACCAACCAUACCCUCUUGCUGGCACAGGUACUUUAUGAAAAAGCAUCACUUAAAUGUAAAAGGUGGGUUUACUUUAUAUGUUGUGGGUAAGGAUAGGUUGAACUGAGAAGUCUCACGGCAGUGGGAUUGGGGGUGAACCAAGUUCUGCUAAGACUCCCCUUCUGCCUGCUCGUUCUUUUGUUAACGUGGUUCCAUGGACUCACAGGAAAGGUCUGCAAUGAAAUCAGAGGUUUUGUUUCCCAUCCUUAUGAUGUACAUGGGUAUUCAGAAAUAAUUCUUGAGGUCACGUUUAUAGCACAGAUCCCGCUCCAGUAGGUUGACUGUGAGAAAGCAAGCGUGUUUUCUUAAAGCUCUUCUAAGGUUGUAUGUGUUGGUUACAGGGACUCUAACCUGGCCCCAGCACUCAGGAAACUGACUGUGAUCUCACUGUUAGCCUGGCUGGAGAAGUAGGGUGUGAAUUCUGUGUCUUAGGUCACAGAUGUAGAUUUUCUCUUUGCUGGUUGUAUGUACAGAUACAGAAAUAUAUGUCCAGGGGUAUUAUAUAGUCAUCAUACACAUUAUUCUGUAUUGUAUGUAACAUACAUGUGAUCUUAAUCUCUAUGAUGGAAUAAAUCAUCACAGUUAUUAUAGGAA